GUCUUGCAAUUUCCCAUUAUAGAUGCAAGAAAAAGAAGGUCCUCAAGCUUUCUGUCUGUCUUGUGGCAGCCAAGAUUAAAUGGGGAAAUUUUAA
Molecule: small nucleolar RNA, 94 nt
Filed under: Dasypus novemcinctus (nine-banded armadillo)
Lineage: Eukaryota; Metazoa; Chordata; Mammalia; Cingulata; Dasypodidae
Description: Small nucleolar RNA SNORA31 (ENSDNOG00000030526.1)
Source: RNAcentral